This 272-nucleotide ribosomal RNA is filed under the name uncultured bacterium. Its description in RNAcentral is "partial 16S ribosomal RNA". It matches the Rfam family "Bacterial small subunit ribosomal RNA", at positions 332 to 619 of the family's 1533-position model. The record is from RNAcentral.
CUGUGCCUACGGGGCGCAGCAGUGGGGGAUAUUGGACAAUGGGGGGAACCCUGAUCCAGCGACGCCGCGUGAGUGAAGAAGUAUUUCGGUAUGUAAAGCUCUGUCAGCAGGGAAGACAGCAAUGACGGUACCUGACCAAGAAGCCCCGGCUAACUACGUGCCAGCAGCCGCGGUAAUACGUAGGGGGCAAGCGUUAUCCGGAAUUACUGGGUGUAACGGGAGCGUAGCCGGCUGUGCCUGUCUGGCUUGAAAGGCUGGGGCCCACCCCCCGG